GCCGACACCGCUCAUGUGGAAGAGCGGCGACCUUGUAUCUCGCCGAGGCCGGUUCGACUCCGGCUCACGGCUCCU
Molecule: transfer RNA, 75 nt
Filed under: Chloroflexota bacterium
Lineage: Bacteria; Bacillati; Chloroflexota
Description: Chloroflexi bacterium tRNA-Thr
Rfam family: tRNA
About the family: Transfer RNA (tRNA) molecules are approximately 80 nucleotides in length. Their secondary structure includes four short double-helical elements and three loops (D, anti-codon, and T loops).
Source: RNAcentral